Molecule: non-coding RNA, 104 nt
Filed under: Lachnoclostridium sp. An14
Lineage: Bacteria; Bacillati; Bacillota; Clostridia; Lachnospirales; Lachnospiraceae
Also listed under: 1 other name
Description: TPP riboswitch aptamer (THI element)
Rfam family: TPP riboswitch aptamer (THI element)
About the family: Vitamin B(1) in its active form thiamin pyrophosphate (TPP) is an essential coenzyme that is synthesised by coupling of pyrimidine and thiazole moieties in bacteria. The previously detected thiamin-regulatory element, thi box was extended, resulting in a new, highly conserved RNA secondary structure, the THI element, which is widely distributed in eubacteria and also occurs in some archaea. Analysis of operon structures identified a large number of new candidate thiamin-regulated genes, mostly transporters, in various prokaryotic organisms.
Source: Rfam by way of RNAcentral
UAAGAGAAAACGGGGAGCCUGUCCGGCAGGCUGAGAGGAAAGGAAGUUUCGACCCGCAACCUGAUUUGGGUAAUGCCAACGUAGGGAAAUAGUGAGACAAAUCC